RNAcentral lists this ribosomal RNA (503 nucleotides) under uncultured bacterium. Its description in RNAcentral is "bacterial SSU rRNA". It matches the Rfam family "Bacterial small subunit ribosomal RNA", at positions 25 to 518 of the family's 1533-position model. The record is from RNAcentral.
CAGGAUGAACGCUAGCGACAGGCUUAACACAUGCAAGUCGAGGGGCAGCAUGGGAGUGGCAACACUCCUGAUGGCGACCGGCGCACUGGUGAGUAACACGUAUGCAACCUGCCCCCUACAGGGGAAUAAACCAGAGAAAUUUGGCCUAAUGCCCCCGUAGUCCUCCUUGCCGCAUGGCGUGGAGGGGAAAGCUCCGGCGGUAGGGGAUGGGCAUGCGGCGCAUUAGCUUGUUGGCGGGGUGACGGCCCACCAAGGCGACGAUGCGUAGGGGUUCUGAGAGGAAGGUCCCCCACACUGGUACUGAGACACGGACCAGACUCCUACGGGAGGCAGCAGUGAGGAAUAUUGGUCAAUGGGCGCAGGCCUGAACCAGCCAAAGUCGCGUGCGGGACGACGGCCCUACGGGUUGUAAACCGCUUUAGCCGGGGAGUAACGGGCGCCACGCGUGGCGCCGUGAGAGUACCCGGAGAAUAAGCAUCGGCUAACUCCGUGCCAGCAGCGGC